GAAGGCAAGAUCUGUUAUCUUCAACCAGCUCUGCUACAAACGAGAGAGGCAAGGUUUGUCUUCGAUCUGCUUCGCUGUCAAUGCAGGAAGGCAAGAUCUGCUAUCUUCAACCAGCUCUGCUACAAACGAGAGAGGUAAGGUUUGUCUUUGAUCUGCUUCGCUGUCAAUGCAGGAAGGCAAGAUCUGCUAUCUUCAACCAGCUCUGCUACAAACGAGAGAGGCAAGGUUUGUCUUCGAUCUGCUUCGCUGUCAAUGCAGGAAGGCAAGAUCUGCUAUCUUCAACCAGCUCUGCUAC
Molecule: long non-coding RNA, 295 nt
Filed under: Gossypium raimondii (Peruvian cotton)
Lineage: Eukaryota; Viridiplantae; Streptophyta; Magnoliopsida; Malvales; Malvaceae
Description: long non-coding RNA (GRAI_LNC010884)
Source: RNAcentral